AAUAGUCAAACAAAUUAGCAAUGGAGCUACCAAGAGAGUACAUUCAACCCUGAUUCAGAAAUAUCUCCAUUUAUCAGUUUUCUUUCAAUCAUUUAAACAUGAUGAAAUAUGCAAUUAUAUAUGAGAGAACUCCUAAUUCUUUCAUCCUAGCUGAAGCAGAAGCAUUUUAAUUGCUUGGAAAAAAUGGGAUUUUUGUUUU
Molecule: non-coding RNA, 199 nt
Organism: Erinaceus europaeus (western European hedgehog)
Lineage: Eukaryota; Metazoa; Chordata; Mammalia; Eulipotyphla; Erinaceidae
Source: Rfam